RNAcentral lists this ribosomal RNA (377 nucleotides) under uncultured bacterium. RNAcentral's name for it is "bacterial SSU rRNA". It matches the Rfam family "Bacterial small subunit ribosomal RNA", at positions 521 to 896 of the family's 1533-position model. The record is from RNAcentral.
UAAUACAGAGGGUGCGAGCGUUGUCCGGAAUCACUGGGCGUAAAGGGCGCGUAGGCGGGCGAUCAAGCGUGCGGUGAAAGCUCGGGGCUCAACUCCGAGUCGGCCGUGCGAACUGGUUGUCUAGAGUCUGGUAGAGGUCGAUGGAAUUCCGGGUGUAGCGGUGGAAUGCGUAGAGAUCCGGAAGAACACCGGUGGCGAAGGCGGUCGACUGGGCCAGUACUGACGCUGAUGCGCGACAGCGUGGGGAGCAAACAGGAUUAGAUACCCUGGUAGUCCACGCCGUAAACGAUGGGCACUAGAUCCUUGGGGGAGCGACCCCGUGAGGGUCGGCGCUAACGCAUUAAGUGCCCCGCCUGGGGAGUACGGCCGCAAGGCUG